This is a long non-coding RNA of Apis mellifera (honey bee), 1227 nucleotides long. RefSeq lists it as uncharacterized. The record is from RefSeq and is a predicted model, not a curated record. The transcript has 2 exons. Lineage: Eukaryota; Metazoa; Arthropoda; Insecta; Hymenoptera; Apidae.
GGAAGUGGAUCGUGACACGAUGAAAGUAAAUUUUUCUUUUCUUCCUUUUCCAUAUCCGAUGGCCAGUUGCCGUUUGAUUUAUGUUCCUUUUUUCCUUUACCUCGAGAGAACCUUUCUUUCUCGAAGCAAGAAACUUCUCUCUAUACGAAUUGUCUCUUUCUAAAAAGAAAAAAAAGAAAAAAAAGGAAAAAUAAAGUUCGAGGAAUAUUUUUAAAUAUCUAUAUUAUAUCUGGCUAAUUUUUCUUAAAAUUACAAUAUGUAACAACCUUUGAACAAAUAUCGAUGCAAAUUGAUACGGAUUAUUAAAAUAUUUACCAAUUAUAGCAACACUUUACACUGCAAAUAUUGAAAUGAAUCAAACGCUUAAUCGAGUAAUUUUCAAGGCAAACAACCUGCAUCGCAACGACAAACAUCCGCCUGUGUUUUAUUAGAGUGUGUGUAUAUAUAUAUAUAUAUGCGUGUACUGCGACCAACAUCACUCGUUUAAAAUCUAUUUUACAAUGUUGCCAACUGCCGCGUUCUUUCGACGUAUCAAAUAACAAAAUAGAGAAGCGCGCCCUUCUUCUCCUUCUUCUCCCUCCUUCUUCUUCUUUAUGCUAAUAAAGCAGCGGCGAGUUUCCAUUCCUUUGCCCGUUGAUCCUGAUUUAUUCGCAUUCGCGUGCUACGGUGUAUUGCGUUCGAGGUUGCAUCGCGCUUAAACGAAGCGAAUAUAAAUGUGUAAUAAAUUUAGGAAAAUGUAUAAAUUAUUCGUAUUACGUUUCUCUUAUUUAAUUCUUACGUUUAUUAUUACGUUAGGUUUGUUGCGAUCUAAUAUCAAGAUUAAAAGUGGCGAUUUUAUUUAUCUAUCAUCGAGAUUAGUAGAAAAGGAGAAGAUAUAAAAAGUUAUUACGAAAUUACGAUGCAAAUUUUCGCUUAAUUGUAAUCAAUCCUACUAGCGAAUUUGUUUUUCCUGUUCGAUCAUAGCGUGCUCCUCUCAAUCCUCGAAAAUAAACAAAUCAACGUGGCGGCAGCAUUCGAUCAAUCAGUGCUCUCGACGGGAAUGAAAAUCAGCUUACCUUCAACGAUCGAUAAUCAAAUAUGCAAAUGAAUUAAUAUACGCGAUGAACGAUAUACGCGCCAAGAGUUGUCGGCGAAUAAUUUUUCCCGAUAUUUCCUUGUGUAAAUGUAACAUAAUUUAAUAUUUUACAACAAUAACGAUAAAAUUCUAAUAAAGGUAUAUUAUUAAAA